AGUGAACGCUGGCGGUAGGCCUAACACAUGCAAGUCGAACGGCAGCACAGUAAGAGCUUGCUCUUACGGGUGUCGAGUGGCGGACGGGUGAGGAAUACAUCGGAAUCUACUUUUUCGUGGGGGAUAACGUAGGGAAACUUACGCUAAUACCGCAUACGACCUACGGGUGAAAGCAGGGGAUCUUCGGACCUUGCGCGAUUGAAUGAGCCGAUGUCGGAUUAGCUAGUUGGCGGGGUAAAGGCCCACCAAGGCGACGAUCCGUAGCUGGUCUGAGAGGAUGAUCAGACACACUGGAACUGAGAAAAGGUCCAGACUCCUACGGGAGGAAGCAGUGGGGAAUAUUGGACAAUGGGCGAAAGCCUGAUCCAGCCAUACCGCGUGGGUGAAGAAGGACUUCGGGUUGUAAAGCCCUUUUGUUGGGAAAGAAAAGCAGCAGGUUAAUACCCCGCUGUUCUGACGGUACCCAAAGAAUAAGCACCGGCUAACUUCGUG
This 492-nucleotide ribosomal RNA is filed under the name uncultured bacterium. Its description in RNAcentral is "partial 16S ribosomal RNA". It matches the Rfam family "Bacterial small subunit ribosomal RNA", at positions 29 to 507 of the family's 1533-position model. The record is from RNAcentral.